GGAAUAUUGCGCAAUGGGCGAAAGCCUGACGCAGCAACGCCGCGUGAGUGAUGAAGGCCUUCGGGUCGUAAAGCUCUGUCGGAGGGAACGAAUGUUUCUGGGGUUAACAGCCCCGGGAAGUGACGGUACCCUCAAAGGAAGCACCGGCUAACUCGUUGCCAGCAGCCGCGGUAAUAAAGAGGGUGCAAGGGUUGUUCGGAAUCAUUGGGCGUAAAGGGCGUGUAGGCGGUUUGUUAAGUCAUGUGUGAAAUCCCUCGGCUCAACCGGGGAACGACGCAUGAAACUGGCAAGCUAGAGUACCAAGGAGGGGGGUGGAGUUCCCGGUGUAGCGGUGAAAUGCGUAGAUAUCGGGAGGAACACCUGUGGCGAAGGCGACCCCCUGGUUGGAUACUGACGCUGAGACGCGAAAGCGUGGGGAGCAAAC
RNAcentral lists this ribosomal RNA (424 nucleotides) under uncultured bacterium. RNAcentral's name for it is "bacterial SSU rRNA". It matches the Rfam family "Bacterial small subunit ribosomal RNA", at positions 358 to 773 of the family's 1533-position model. The record is from RNAcentral.